AAAAUUGUUACAAAUAUUUGAGUAGUUUUUUAGUGUCUUCCAGAAUAGCUGUACUAUUUCCACUGACAAUGUAUGAGAGUUACACUUACUUCACAUUCUCCUUAGCACUUGGUAUUGUUAGUUUUUUGGGUUUGUUUUUGGUGUAUUAUAUUGAACCCAGGGCCUUGCCCAUGCUAGGCAAGCACUUUACCACUGAGCUACAUCCUCAGCCCUGUUUAUUUUAAGCUGUUCUAAAUGAUGUACAGUGGAACUAUGACUUUAAUUUUCAUUUCCCUAUUAAGUGUUGAUAUUAAGAUCUUUUCAUGUGCUUUUUUGUCAUCUGUAAAUCUUUGGUGAAGUGUCUUUAUAUCUGACCGUUUAAAAGGGGUUAUUAAAAAUAAAAGGGUUAUUUUCUUAUUUUUGAGUUGUGAAAAGUUCUUUACGUACUUAUUUUCUUUAGAUACUAAUAGCGGUACAUGGAUUUAUUUUAAUCAUCACAAUAAUCCUUUGCAGUAGGUACUAUUAGUCUAUAUCAUAGAAAAAAUGAUGGCAUAAGAUUAAGUGAUUGCCCAAAAUUACACAGUAAUAGGUAGCAGAAUUAGAUUUUGAACCCAAGUAGAUUGUAGAACCUGUGCUAAAUCAUUUGCUUAUUUUUUUCCUUGAUACACUACUAUGCAGGUAUUGAUUGGGGGAGGUACUGUGAAUAAAACUGGGAUCCAGUUUCUGUAGUUGGUACACUAUUUCUAAUAGGUAUAUUGCAGAGGAAAGGGGCAGUAUGUGCUCGCUUCGGCAGGACAUAUACUAAAAUAGGAAAAGGGCAGUAUAUUGAAAUAAUAAACUUGGAAUCAUCUCCUUAGGAAUACUUGUUUGAAUGGAAGAGGGGUAAUUAUUUGUACUUUAAGUCUCUCCUGUGUAUUUUUGUUUUGUUUUGUUUUGUUUUUGGUACGGGGGAUGGAACUCAGGACCUGUGCUUGCAAGGCAGGCACAGCGCAACUGAACUAAAUCCCUGGCCCCUCUUCUGUGUACAUACGGAUGAUCAAAAGUAUUUAUACUCCAGAUUUACUUAUUAUUAAGUAAUGAAGUGACUGAGAUGAAUGUAAUUUUUCAGUAGCAGAGCUCAUCUAUUAAUGUAUCUGUACAUCAUAAAAAACCCUAACAAACUUGAUGUUGUGUUUGAAAACCUGUACCAUACUAACGCUGAUAGCAAGACACACAGUAUAUGAUGAUAUACUGAGGGAAUAUGCACAACUUGUUGGCAUUACAGAAUGGCUUCAAAUUCAAGCACUUUUUAAGUUAUAUGUAGUUUUAUAAGGUCUUUUUAAAAAAGUCUUAUUAUCAACUCUAUUGUUUGUUCUGAUUGACAUCUUUUUACUAUUGCCCUUUUUCAUUCUUUAUAAUUUGUAUUUCUAAAAAGCUAAAAGAUGAUAUUAGGCAUGCAUGGAUAUUUUCCAAAAUAAGUUUCAGCUGUAGGAAAUGAUUUGGGGGUUUUCCAGUGAACAGUGGACUUCCUUUGACUGCUCAGAGAACCUUGUUUCUUGGUGUUUGAAUUCUGAAUAACUGGGUUAAAUGUGACAUUUGACUAUAGAAAAAGUAAUGUAUUUUUGCAUAAUUUUAAUGAACAGUUUGUUAAACCAUGGAGAUUAUUUCAGUAAAAAGAUAAACAGCAAUGUUCAGUGGAAUGGAAUAAAUAGGCAAUUACUAACGUAGGUUUAUAGUCAUAUUUUUUAGCAGUUUGGGAAGUUCCUAAGUCAGUGACAGCUUGUUCUCUCAUCUGUGUCUCUAGUAAAGCAGAAUAAGUACUCUCAAGUAGUUAACUAAGGGAAGAAAAAUCUUGCUAAAUUGUUUUUACUCUGCUGCUAUGAUUUGGAAAUAGUUAUAUACUAUAAUUGCAUUGCUUUUUUAUGGAGUUUUAUCAAGCUUGAAGUUCUUUUCAAAAUCAUUUUGCUAAUUUGGACUUUCUACUAUGAAUUUUAAAAAUUUUAUAAACCAUAUUAAUUCACAUUUAUUUUUCCACUGAACUUUGAAUUUUCUAGUGGAUUUUAUCUAUUUAGAGAAACUCUAAAUCUGCAUCUACUAUUGCAGUUUGCUAGCUUUUCCAGAUUACACAGCAAUAUAUUCCUUUCAUAUAAGGGUUAAUGAGUAGCCAGAUAAGACCCACCAGUCCAUUGUUACAUUAAAAGCCACAGUUUACUGUCUUCUAUCUUCUCUCAUCCUUUUUGCCAUUCAUAGUUGGAUUUAUUUGAUAUAUAAAAAUUAGUUUUAAAAAUUGAGGUUUUAUAUUUUAAAACAAUAUACAGUAUUUAAUUUUGCUUUCUUGUAGAUUCUCAUUCUAUUUAUUGUUAAUUUUAAAUUAUAGCAAUUAACAUGAGUUUAUUAAUGGUUUAAUCAAGGAUAGAUCUUGCUCCUUUGAUUUACCUCCCUCCUUGUCUUGUUAAUCCCCUUCCUUCCUUUUUUACCUUUAUAUUUGUAUGUUUGACCUAGCCCAAUAAUUGGGUCCACAGCAACAUGGGCGUGUCUCCCUUAGAAACACUUAGUUUCAUGUGUGACUCAUAAGCUGAAGCACAGACACCACUUCCCCAAUCUACCGGAGCCAUUUUAACAGCAUAAAACUUGCCGGAUUGCUUUUUAUUUUCAAGCCCAAAAGGUGAAAUCUAAAGAGAAAGAAUGUUUGAAGAGACAGAGUCUUGGUGAAUUGCCCAGUUUCACCCACCCGAGUAGCUGCAAUUACAGGUAUGCACCACAAAGCCCAAGGAUAAUCUUUUCUGUAUUGUUUUACCCCUUUGAACUUUUUGUAAAUAGAAUCACAUCAUAUAUAUUCCAUAAUGAUUUGCUUCUUUCAUUCAACUCUGAAAUUCAU
RNAcentral lists this long non-coding RNA (2836 nucleotides) under Heterocephalus glaber (naked mole-rat). RNAcentral's name for it is "lncRNA (ENSHGLG00000034655.1)". The record is from RNAcentral. Lineage: Eukaryota; Metazoa; Chordata; Mammalia; Rodentia; Bathyergidae.